UACAGAGGGGGCAAGCGUUAUUCGGAAUUACUGGGCGUAAAGGGCGCGUAGGCGGCCUUCUAAGUCAGACGUGAAAUCCCCCGGCUUAACCUGGGAACUGCGUCUGAUACUGGGAGGCUUGAGUAUGGGAGAGGGAUGUAGAAUUCCAGGUGUAGCGGUGAAAUGCGUAGAGAUCGGGAGGAAGGCCGGUGGCGAAGGCGGCGCUCUGGAACGUGCCUGACGCUGAGACACGAAAGCGUGGGGAGCAAACAGG
This 253-nucleotide ribosomal RNA is filed under the name uncultured bacterium. Its description in RNAcentral is "partial 16S ribosomal RNA". It matches the Rfam family "Bacterial small subunit ribosomal RNA", at positions 524 to 776 of the family's 1533-position model. The record is from RNAcentral.